Molecule: non-coding RNA, 31 nt
Filed under: Mus musculus (house mouse)
Lineage: Eukaryota; Metazoa; Chordata; Mammalia; Rodentia; Muridae
Source: RNAcentral
CAUGAUUGUAGAUCGUGAUGCACAGUGCAGU